AGUAAGUGUAGGGAAUAUGGAUAGUGCAUGGCUGUGCCCCCUUUUCUGACAGGACUGGUUUUUAGACUGCCACCGAUAAGGACAUCAAAAUGGGCUUCAUCUUCAGUGAACCUGGUUUUCUGGGAAUUAGAGGCCACUGUUUUAGGCAAAUAUGACCACUAGUGGAUUCGAGUCACCAUAACAGUUUGAGAUCGGUUCAAAGUAUAACUCAAGCAAAGUUCUUGGGUGAGUGCCCAAUCCAUUUGUCUCUGAAGGACAGAGUUGUUUUUGUAGAUUUCCUAAGGGGAUUCUGAUUGGCUCUUUGGGGGAAAUCUUGAUAGUCCCAAAGCAGCCUGGAUCUCCUUAAUAUUCUCCAGGAGCUAACUGAUCCUUUGAGAAUGUUUACAUGUGGUCUUUCCCUAGAGAUGCAUUAACCCCGUGGACGUUAAGGCUGCCUGGAUCUGCAGUAGACUCUUCUGGAAUCAUGAAGUAGGAGAAAAGCCCUCAUCUUUGCUUUGAAGUGUAAACUAAUUGCUCAGUGAAAAUAUUGUAAAGAACCGAGGAGAGUAUGAUAGAUCAAAGAGUGCAAUCUUUAACUGAUGCAAAAGGUCUGAUAUGUAGCUGAUGCUGCUAAGGUAGGUAUAUGAAAAUUCUGCUGGAAGUAAAUCAAGGGUGGUGCUUCUUUAGUGGAUUAAAGCAUUUUUAAUAAGUGAUGAAUUUGCCUUGUGUUUUUUAAACUGAAACUACCAAGUCACAUUGUUGAUUUUUGCUGGGGAGGAAGGAGAUUGACAUUGCAGCAUUAUUCACUGUGGCUUUCUUUUCUUUUCUUUUUUUUUUCUUUUUUUCUAUUUUGCAUAGAAUGACUUUAUGCAAAUGGUACAUUUUUUUAAAAGAUGGAAUCACAAACUGUAGGAUUUCUUGGAGUUUUGUUUGCCAUAUAGGUCCAAAAAUUCUCACCAUGGGCAUAAAGAAAAAGUCCAAGUAGCGGACCUGAGUUGGAAUGCUGAUUCAACCACUAGCUGGAGAAGACUCUGAGAAUUGUUACAAUCUGAGAGAAAGACAUUGUGUAUCUAAAAUGAGGUUUUCAUUCAUAAAGGACUUUUUCUUAUGCUCACAUAUUGGUUACCUUUUAGUGAUGUUUGAAGCCAUGAGUAAAAAUCCUGAGUUGCCCAAACAACCCUUUCCAUUUGACUUUCUUGAAUAGUUUGACUACUUCAAUUCAAGAAGAAAGCCAGUUGAUAGCUAUUAUACUUAUCCCCCUACUUAAAAUAAAGUAGUAGUAAGAAAAAGUCUGUUUUUCUCACAGAUUAUUCUGUACAUAUGUGCAUGUAAGUAUAAAUAUAGAUGUGCAGUUUAAUGCUUUAGAGUAUGCAGAAAAACUAAAAUCACCCCAAG
This is a non-coding RNA of Heterocephalus glaber (naked mole-rat), 1374 nucleotides long. Lineage: Eukaryota; Metazoa; Chordata; Mammalia; Rodentia; Bathyergidae. The record is from RefSeq and is a predicted model, not a curated record.